AUUGAACGCUGGCGGCAGGCUUAACACAUGCAAGUCGAGCGGGGUGAUGGUGCUUGCACUAUCACUUAGCGGCGGACGGGUGAGUAAUGCUUAGGAAUCUGCCUAUUAGUGGGGGACAACAUCUCGAAAGGGAUGCUAAUACCGCAUACGUCCUACGGGAGAAAGCAGGGGAUCACUUGUGACCUUGCGCUAAUAGAUGAGCAUAAGUCGGAUUAGCUAGUUGGUGGGGUAAAGGCCUACCAAGGCGACGACCUGUAGCGGGUCUGAGAGGAUGAUCCGCCACACUGGGACUGAGACACGGCCCAGACUCCUACGGGAGGCAGCAGUGGGGAAUAUUGGACAAUGGGGGGAACCCUGAUCCAGCCAUGCCGCGUGUGUGAAGAAGGCCUUAUGGUUGUAAAGCACUUUAAGCGAGGAGGAGGCUCUUUUGGUUAAUACCCAAGAUGAGUGGACGUUACUCGCAGAAUAAGCACCGGCUAACUCUGUGCCAGCAGCCGCCGUAA
This 503-nucleotide ribosomal RNA is filed under the name uncultured bacterium. RNAcentral describes it as "partial 16S ribosomal RNA". It matches the Rfam family "Bacterial small subunit ribosomal RNA", at positions 30 to 523 of the family's 1533-position model. The record is from RNAcentral.